Molecule: long non-coding RNA, 2174 nt
Filed under: Sus scrofa (pig)
Lineage: Eukaryota; Metazoa; Chordata; Mammalia; Artiodactyla; Suidae
Description: lncRNA (ENSSSCG00000056071.1)
Source: RNAcentral
GUUUCAAAUAUGCUUUUACUUCAAACAGUAACAACCACAAGAUGUCAUUUUUAUACCCAUUGGAGUAGCAGAAAUUAAAAUCAGAUCACAGCAAGAACUGGGUGAGAGUCUUGGCAAACAGGAAUGCAUAUAUUGCUGGUGGAAGUGUAAUUCAUUUCAUUUUGAUGAAAGUUUUUCAAUGCCUAAGGUUUACAGCAUGUAUUACAAAAUGUGGUACCCAGAACAGAAUGGACUACCAUGCAUACAAGUCGAAUAACUCCAGGCUUGCUUCCUUAUGACUUGAGGCAGGUCCUAACUUUUUUUUUUUUUUGUCUUUUGUCUUUUGGGGGUUGUACCUGCAGCAUAUGGAGCUUCCCAGGCUAGGGGUCAAAUCGGAGCUGGAGCUGCCAGAGAAUGCCACAGCCACAGCAACGCCAGAUCCGAGCCUCGUCUGCAAACUAUACCACAGCUCACCGCAACAUUAGAUCCUUAAUCCACUGAGUGAGGCCAGGGAUUGAACCCACAUCCUCAUGGAUCCUAGUUGGGUUCCUUAACCACUGAGCCAUGACGGGAACUCCAAAGCAGGUCCUAACUUUACACUCACUUCAUGACAGCCAUAUUCCAAAGUGUCAACAGAAACGCUGAGACAUAUUGCCAAGCCAGAGCUUCCUCAAUCUAUUAUUGGAAAGACAAGGUUUUAUACCUAAAAAUAGGCCUCCCUUAUACCAAGUGCUCUGCCUCUCUCUGCUACCACCUCUUCAUUCUGCCUUCACUGCUGCUACAAUCAGGUCUCCAGGAAAGGCAGAGGGAGAAAACUUUACAAGUGUGAAACACCACGCAGUCCUGAUGCAACUCUCCUCUUUGCCACAUGAAUCUUCCCCAACUUCUCACCCCAGACAUGUUCAGCUUCCAAUAUAUUUUUAACCCGUGCUUGAAAACUGCUCUAAAAUUUGUGCCCAAAUUUCUGGCUUUUAAGAGUUAACAUCUACCCUUUUAGACAUGCAGGGCUACUUGACCUUGGCUUGUGCAAAAACUCAGGCAUCUCUAGAGCAACAAAAACAGCAUCAGAGACCACAGUAGGUUUGGCGAUGUCAGAGGGCGGUGGACUUUGGAUGGGGAGGAGAAAGACUCACUCACAGCCAGUCUCUGGUACCAGCCUUUUACAACAUCAGUUAGGAAAUGCUGGGUAAGGGCAGGUGCUGAAUCAUCUCGAAGAUUCUUGGAGGUUCUUCGAUGGAGAUAAUCCAUAUAGAACACAGAGACAGAAGAAAACAGAGCGGACAUAUGGGGUAAAAACUGGAGAAUGAAGUAAACUACAUAGUGAAUGAAUAGACUCUGCUGGGGGGGCUGUUCCCCACUACGAUCCCAAAUACCUGCACAGUCACAUUCGACAUGCAGAACAUGGAAACACUCUCAAGAAACUUGAAUGGGAGUUCCCAUGGUGGCUCAGUGGAAAUGCAUCUGACUAGCAUCCAUGAAGAUGCAGGUUCAAUCCCUGGCCUUGCUCAGUGGGUUAAGGAUCUGGCAUUGCCAUGACCCGUGGUGUAGGUCAUAGACAUGGCUUGGAUCUAAUGUUGCUGUGGCCGUGGUGUAGGCUAGCAGCUACAAUUCCGAAUCGACCCCUAGCCUGGGAACCUCCAUAUGCUGAGAAGAAUUCAAUCAGUUUUUUUUUAAUUGAGGUAUAGUUGACUUACAAUAUUAUAUUGUUUCAGGUGCAAAACAUAGUGACUCAAUAUUUUUAUAGGUUAUACUCCAUAUACAGUUAUUAUAAAAUAUUUGUUAUAUUCCCUUGCUGCACAUUAAUGCUCUUUCUCUGAGAAUUUAAAACAUUUUUAUUGUGACCCUCAGCAAGGCAUAACUUUUAAGCUGUGACCCAGAACAAAACUUAUAUACACCCUAACAGAACUGAAAUUAAAGUUACAUGAUGGGGGAAAAAACUGUAACUGCAAUGUAUACAUCUAAGGAUGACCUGACCCCCUUGCUGUACAGUGGGAAAAUUAAAAAAUAAAUAAAUAAAUAAAAAAUAAAGUUACAUGAAACAGGGUUAAUCUCUAUUAAAUGCAUUCUGGUCUUUUCAAUUUCAUUCUCUGCAAUUCCAUUCCAUCCCAUUUCAGCCCAAACCCAUUCUAUUCCAUUCCAGUGUUUCUCUUUUGUAAAUGGUUGGUUAAAUACACACUAAAUUGAUUUCCCAGCCC